AGGUUAAGUUAGUAAGGGCGCACGGUGAAUGCCUUGGCACUAGGAGCCGAUGAAGGACGGUACUAACACCGAUAUGCUUCGGGGAGCUGUAAGUAAGCUUUGAUCCGGAGAUUUCCGAAUGGGGGAACCCACUACUCGUAAUGGAGUAGUAUUUUCACCUGAAUACAUAGGGUGAUAAAGGCAGACCCGGGGAACUGAAACAUCUAAGUACCCGGAGGAAGAGAAAGCAAACGCGAUUUCCUGAGUAGCGGCGAGCGAAACGGAAUUAGCCCAAACCAAGAGGCUUGCCUCUUGGGGUUGUAGGACACUCUAUACGGAGUUACAAAGGAAUGAAGUAGAUGAAGAGGUCUGGAAAGGCCCGUCAAAGAAGGUAACAACCCUGUAGUUGAAACCUCAUUCCCUCCAGAGUGGAUCCUGAGUACGGCGGGACACGAGAAAUCCCGUCGGAAGCAGGGAGGACCAUCUCCCAAGGCUAAAUACUCCCUAGUGACCGAUAGUGAACCAGUACCGUGAGGGAAAGGUGAAAAGCACCCCGGAAGGGGAGUGAAACAGAUCCUGAAACCGUGUGCCUACAAGUAGUCAAAGCCCUUGUCGAUAUUUCCUUAGGGAAAAUCGCGGGUAAUGGCGUGCCUUUUGUAGAAUGAACCGGCGAGUUACGAUCACAUGCAAGGUUAAGUUGAUAAGACGGAGCCGCAGCGAAAGCGAGUCUGAAUAGGGCGAUAUAGUUUGUGGUCGUAGACCCGAAACCAGGUGAUCUACCCAUGUCCAGGGUGAAGUUCAGGUAACACUGAAUGGAGGCCCGAACCCACGCAUGUUGAAAAAUGCGGGGAUGAGGUGUGGGUAGCGGAGAAAUUCCAAUCGAACCUGGAGAUAGCUGGUUCUCUCCGAAAUAGCUUUAGGGCUAGCCUUGAAUUUAGAGUCUUGGAGGUAGAGCACUGAUUGAACUAGGGGUCGUCAUCGGAUUACCGACUUCAGGCAAACUCCGAGUGCGAAUGACUGAUUCUGAG
Molecule: ribosomal RNA, 1007 nt
Filed under: Brucella pseudogrignonensis
Lineage: Bacteria; Pseudomonadati; Pseudomonadota; Alphaproteobacteria; Hyphomicrobiales; Brucellaceae
Description: bacterial LSU rRNA
Rfam family: Bacterial large subunit ribosomal RNA
Source: RNAcentral